RNAcentral lists this ribosomal RNA (429 nucleotides) under Chloroflexota bacterium. RNAcentral describes it as "Chloroflexi bacterium partial 16S ribosomal RNA". It matches the Rfam family "Bacterial small subunit ribosomal RNA", at positions 355 to 776 of the family's 1533-position model. Lineage: Bacteria; Bacillati; Chloroflexota. The record is from RNAcentral.
UGGGGAAUAUUGCACAAUGGGCGCAAGCCUGAUGCAGCCAUGCCGCGUGUAUGAAGAAGGCCUUCUGGUUGUAAAGUACUUUCAGUCGGGAGGAAGGUGGUAAGGUUAAUAACCUUAUCAAUUGACGUUACCGACAGAAGAAGCACCGGCUAACUCCGUGCCAGCAGCCGCGGUAAUACGGAGGGUGCAAGCGUUAAUCGGAAUUACUGUGCGUAAAGCGCACGCAGGCGGUUGAUUGAGUCAGAUGUGAAAUCCCCGGGCUUAACCCGGGAAUUGCAUCUGAUACUGGUCAGCUAGAGUCUUGUAGAGGGGGGUAGAAUUCCAGGUGUAGCGGUGAAAUGCGUAGAGAUGUGGAGGAAUACCGGUGGCGAAGGCGGCCCCCUGGACAAAGACUGACGCUAAGGUGCGAAAGCGUGGGGAGCAAACAGG